GAUGAACGCUAGCGGCAGGCUUAAUACAUGCAAGUCGAGGGGCAUCAAGGUACACGAAAGUGUAUUGUUGGCGACCGGCGGACGGGUGAGUAAUAGGUAGGUAACCUACCUCAUACUGAGGCAUAGCUGGGAGAAAUUCCAGGUAAUUCCUCAUGAGGUUAUAUGACACAUGUGAUAUAAUCAAAGGUAUCGCAAGGUACUGGUAUGAGAUGGGCUUACUGACCAUUAGCUAGUUGGUGAGAUAAGAGCUCACCAAGGCGAAGAUGGUUAGGGUUUGAGAGAGAGAUCCCCCACAUUGGAACUGAGAUACGGUCCAGACUCCUACGGGAGCAGCAGUAGGGAAUAUUGGGCAAUGGGCGGAAGCCUGACCCAGCCAUGCCGCGUGAAGGAAGACGGCCUUAAUGGGUUGUAAACUUCUUUACUAUGCGACUAACUAGAUUUACGAGAUAAUUCUAUAGAAUGUAGCAUAGCAAAAAGCACCGGA
Molecule: ribosomal RNA, 484 nt
Filed under: uncultured bacterium
Lineage: Bacteria
Description: bacterial SSU rRNA
Rfam family: Bacterial small subunit ribosomal RNA
Source: RNAcentral